UGGGGAAUAUUGCACAAUGGGGGAAACCCUGAUGCAGCGACGCCGCGUGAGUGAAGAAGUAUUUCGGUAUGUAAAGCUCUAUCAGCAGGAACGAGACAAGACGGUACCUGACUAAGAAGCCCCGGCUAACUACGUGCCAGCAGCCGCGGUAAUACGUAGGGGGCAAGCGUUAUCCGGAAUCACUGGGUGUAAAGGGAGCGUAGACGGCUGAGCAAGCCUGAAGUGAAAGGCGGGGGCCCAACCCCCGGACUGCUUUGGGAACUGUACGGCUGGAGUGCAGGAGAGGUAAGUGGAAUUCCUAGUGUAGCGGUGAAAUGCGUAGAUAUUAGGAGGAACACCAGUGGCGAAGGCGGCUUACUGGACUGUAACUGACGUUGAGGCUCGAAAGCGUGGGGAGCAA
Molecule: ribosomal RNA, 400 nt
Filed under: uncultured bacterium
Lineage: Bacteria
Description: bacterial SSU rRNA
Rfam family: Bacterial small subunit ribosomal RNA
Source: RNAcentral